CCCUUGCGCGGCGGCCUUGUCCUCCUCCCGCUGCUGCACGGCGGUCCCAGCGUAGCCGAGCGGCGCCCGGAGACGGGCGGGGAGCUGGGCCUUCCAGAAGUCGAGCGUGGCGAAGGGCGCUUGCGCCGGCGCCGGUGCAGCGGCACUGCCGUCGGCGGUGGCGACGAGACCGGCGGCCCAGCGCGGGCGCCAGGCCCAGCCGAGCAGAAGGCCGAUGAGGGCCGCCGCCCAGAGGGGCCCCGCGAGGAGCGCCAUCUCCCAGACCGCCCCCCACGCCGUGGGCUGCUCCAGCACCCUCGCCACCGCCGACAGCACGUACCCCAUCGGAGCCGACCGGGCGGGCGGCGACGGCGUGGGGGGACGGACGCGGCGGUGCGGAUGGGGGGUGUGGGGAGGAGAAGAGGGGCAGGAAGGAAGGAACGGGGCUUUGCGGCCUACGGAG
RNAcentral lists this long non-coding RNA (442 nucleotides) under Setaria italica (foxtail millet). RNAcentral's name for it is "long non-coding RNA (SITA_LNC000203)". The record is from RNAcentral. Lineage: Eukaryota; Viridiplantae; Streptophyta; Magnoliopsida; Poales; Poaceae.